UCCUAAAAUUCGUAAUAAGGAAAUUUAAUAUUUUGUUAGUGUUCAAAUUAAAAUUGAUUUAUUUAAUUAUUAUUAUUUUUUGUAAAUUUCAAAAAAUUUAACAGAGAAUUGUAAACUUGACUUGACAAUUUUUGCGCCGAACAUCCGGACGUCCGGACGUGUUCGGUGUUCGAUCGCACAUACGAACGAACACAACGAACAUUUCAAUUUUUACGAACGACCGACCGAUCAUUAAUGAUUUCAACGAACGAACGACCGACCACAAACACAUAUUUUUUCAAUGUACGAACGAACGACCGACUGUUCGUGCCCAGCUCUGCCGAUGACAACGUAAAAGAAUACACCAAAAAGUAUUGGUUUGAAUCACUUCCAAUGUGGUUGUAUAUACAUGCAAGAGCAAAUCGACGAUUUCCAUUACUGGGCUCAAGACAAUAACAUUACAAUGCCAAAAAUUGAAAACCUGACAGUGAUUCCACGUUGCUCGUUCGAGCGAAAAGCAGUCAAAAUGGACACCAAAGGUCUCAAAUAUAUGAUGGCUUAAUUGAAUCUUUUGCCUCAAAUCGAUGGCCGGCAAAUCAACGAAACAGAAUUCUACGAGCACAAAGAGUACUUCUGGAAUGAGAUUUUCGAUAUGCCAAAAAUUCAUCGCAUUUUGAAGAACAAACCGUUACAUGAUUACAACCGUUUGGUGUGCAAUGGUGUAUCGACGUCGAUUUUGUAGAAAGUGCCAAAACCGAACUCGAUCAAUUGGUGUCCGAUGAAAUCAUCAAAAAAAAUACUUGGAUGGCGAAUUCGUUCAUGAGCUUGACAUACAUCCAGGCAUGCGCACUUGGAAUGCGACAGUCAGACGAAAUAUUCAGAUGGCAAAGAAAUGAACUUCAAAAUCAGUAGCAAGCAGUAUCAUUACAUGGCCAGGCAACGUGUUCGUGACAGAAAAGUCAAACGAUGGACACGCGAAUUUACCAGUUAUGAACAGAACGACCGAAAUGAUCGAGCAAGAUAUCCACGAAUGCCAUCGCCGAAAGGCUAGCAUACAUUGCACAUCGAUUGACUGUAAUAAAGAGAGGCAUUAAAACGUACACCACAAUGCGAUACGCCCGAUUAAAAUUUGAUAAGUACAUCGAAUCAAAUCAUGUCAGUGAUUGCGUCGCAUUUUUAUUGAAAUUGCGACCAAUUCACCAAUUAAGAUAAAGAAACACGUCCGAUGCCGAGGCACUCGUAAACUGGCGAAAAGUUUCAUAAAAAUGACUGGUAUGGUGAUUCGUCGUGUAUGUGAAAGGAGAACAUCAAUGCUCUGCGGUCGUUGUUUUGCGGCAUUUCCAGAAAGAACACGAAGUCAUCGCUUCAAAGUGUGCGAAUGGUGCGUGUCAAGUCCAGAUGAUUGGCCACCAUUACAACAGCUACCACCGAAAAUCGUGACAACAAAGACCAAGCGAAUGAUGCGAGCAGAACGCGAUGAUUGGGUGGAGGAAGCAAUUUGUGAUGAUCCAGAUCUAGAUCAAGAUGUAGCACGAGCAGUAGCUCUACGAUUUGUGUCUAAGGUGAUUUCGUACCGUAAAAACUGGCAACAAAUCGACGCAGCAUACGAUCAUGAUGAGGAUGAAUGCGAAGAUGUACACCAACGUCGAACCAUUCUGAAGACUGUCUAGCAUUGAGACAUUUCAGCUGCAGAGCUGAUCAUGUACAAAGGACAUUGCCUGAUACACGGAAUAGCAUGACAUGUGGUGUUUACAGUUCAAAAUGUAUACCACGUUUAAUUUAUAAACAUUUUGUAAUUGAAAAAAAAAAUGUAAUUGUUUACUGUAUUACACUGUAAUAGUUGACUUUGCAGCAUUUGGGACCUUUGGCCCACUUUAGUGACAGUACCGAGGUGAUAUUGAUGUUUUAUAAUUAUUGAUUAAUGAGUGACCAUAAGGACCUUUAAUAGUAAUUAUGAUAUUCCAAUAUCAAGUCAAAGGAUUAGAGUUAGCUAUUGAUAAGUUAAAUUUGAUUUUCCACUCGGUAGAGAGUGUUACAUACCAUAUGAGAUGAAUGCAUCAACUAUGUGACAUCUACAGUAGAAACUUAUUUUAUAUCUACUUCAUAUUAGAAAAAAUACACACGGAAUGUUAUAUGAUCCAAUACAUUUUUAAUGUUAUAAAAAAGAAUCUAU
Long non-coding RNA from Contarinia nasturtii (swede midge), 2152 nucleotides. RefSeq lists it as uncharacterized. Lineage: Eukaryota; Metazoa; Arthropoda; Insecta; Diptera; Cecidomyiidae. The record is from RefSeq and is a predicted model, not a curated record. The transcript is spliced from 4 exons.